GUUUCCCCGAUGGGCUAACCCUCGGUGGCGUGGGGGAGGUGUUUAAUAAGGGGGAAAACGCCCCGAAAAUAACUUUAAAAAAGGGUUUCCCUUUUUUUGUAAGAAGUGUUAUUUUAGAAAUAAAAUUAUUAAUUUAAUUUUAUCCUUGCCCCUUAUCCUAUAGUUGUCUCCCACAUUUUAGGUAGUUUUUAAUUAUAUAUUUUUAUUUUAGUAUAAAAAAUAAUAAUUUUUGCAUUAAAAAAACACUUAUAUUAAGCUAUUUAGUAUCUGUUAACCCAUUUAAGUAACAUCUCAAAAGUCAUAGCAAGGUAGCUUGUACUGGG
RNAcentral lists this ribosomal RNA (323 nucleotides) under Pleurotus sp. PLHP-2. Its description in RNAcentral is "partial small subunit ribosomal RNA". The record is from RNAcentral. Lineage: Eukaryota; Fungi; Basidiomycota; Agaricomycetes; Agaricales; Pleurotaceae.